UACGGGGGGGGCAAGCGUUGUUCGGAAUUACUGGGCGUAAAGGGCUUUUAGGUGGCCAACUAAGUCAGACGUGAAAUCCCUCGGCUUAACCGGGGAACUGCGUCUGAGACUGGAUGGCUUGAGUGUGGGAGAGGGAUGCGGAAUUCCAGGUGUAGCGGUGAAAUGCGUAGAUAUUGGGAGGAACACCAGUGGCGAAGGCGGCUCACUGGACUGGUACUGACGCUGAUGCGCGAAAGCGUGGGGAGCAAACAGG
RNAcentral lists this ribosomal RNA (253 nucleotides) under uncultured bacterium. RNAcentral's name for it is "partial 16S ribosomal RNA". It matches the Rfam family "Bacterial small subunit ribosomal RNA", at positions 524 to 776 of the family's 1533-position model. The record is from RNAcentral.